This 272-nucleotide unclassified non-coding RNA is filed under the name Hevea brasiliensis (rubber tree). The record is from RNAcentral. Lineage: Eukaryota; Viridiplantae; Streptophyta; Magnoliopsida; Malpighiales; Euphorbiaceae.
GUUUAAUGAUAAAAAGUAUGAUUAAUGAAGGGAAGAUUGUUCCUUCUGAGGUGACAGUAAAGCUUCUCCAACAGGCAAUGGAGGAAAGUGGUAAUGACAAAUUUCUUAUAGAUGGUUUUCCACGUAAUGAUGAAAACCGUGCUGCUUUUGAGGCUGUUACUGGUAUAGAGCCAGCUUUUGUCCUGUUUUUCGAUUGUCCUGAAGAGGAGAUGGAGAGGCGCAUUUUAAAUAGGAAUCAGGAAAGAGAUGAUGAUAAUAUCGAGACAAUUCGA